GGGUCCGUGGCGCAGCUUGGACAGCGCGUCGGCCUUCUAAGCCGGAGAUCCCGGGUUCAAAUCCCGGCGGACCCG
This 75-nucleotide transfer RNA is filed under the name Candidatus Bathyarchaeota archaeon. RNAcentral's name for it is "tRNA-Arg". It matches the Rfam family "tRNA". Rfam says of the family: Transfer RNA (tRNA) molecules are approximately 80 nucleotides in length. Their secondary structure includes four short double-helical elements and three loops (D, anti-codon, and T loops). The record is from RNAcentral. RNAcentral also lists the same sequence under 1 other name. Lineage: Archaea; Thermoproteati; Candidatus Bathyarchaeota.